GUCCCCGUGGCACAACUGGAUAGCGCGACGCCCUCCUAAGGCGUAGGUUGCAGGUUCGAUUCCUGCCGGGGACACCA
RNAcentral lists this transfer RNA (77 nucleotides) under Gammaproteobacteria bacterium. RNAcentral's name for it is "tRNA-Arg". It matches the Rfam family "tRNA". From Rfam's summary of the family: Transfer RNA (tRNA) molecules are approximately 80 nucleotides in length. Their secondary structure includes four short double-helical elements and three loops (D, anti-codon, and T loops). RNAcentral also lists the same sequence under 1 other name. Lineage: Bacteria; Pseudomonadati; Pseudomonadota; Gammaproteobacteria. The record is from RNAcentral.